ACAUGAUAUACAACACCGCAACUAUUAGAGGUAGAAUUGAAUCGAUAA
This 48-nucleotide unclassified non-coding RNA is filed under the name Leishmania tarentolae. RNAcentral describes it as "guide RNA". Lineage: Eukaryota; Euglenozoa; Kinetoplastea; Trypanosomatida; Trypanosomatidae. The record is from RNAcentral.